This 2506-nucleotide long non-coding RNA is filed under the name Sus scrofa (pig). RNAcentral describes it as "lncRNA (ENSSSCG00000044402.1)". The record is from RNAcentral. Lineage: Eukaryota; Metazoa; Chordata; Mammalia; Artiodactyla; Suidae.
CCAUUACAGAGUCAGCCAUUACAGGUUAUUUCUGCCUCUUGUUGCACUAGAGGGUCUCAGGAGUAGACCAACCUGGGGUUGGGAGAUCCACUUUCAACUUGUCAGUCUGAUUGACACUGAGAGCUUAGUUAGGAUGUGGACUGGGAUGCUGGUUCCUCUCUCCAUGGGUCUUUCCAUGGGCUGCUUGGGCUCCCCAUGCAAAUAUGCUGGCUGGGUCAUAGGAGCAACCAUGCCAAGAAAAUAGGUGGAAAUAGUAUGAUCUUUUACAGACUACCCUUGAAAACCACACUUGGUUACUUCUGCUGAAUUUAUACAUCUACCCAAUUCAAGGAGAGGGAAACUAGCCCCUGCCUCUGAAUGGGAGGAGUGGAAAAAUCACAUUGUAAGAAGAGUAAGAAGAACAUUUGGGAGGACAGUUAUAGUUGUGGCCCUUAUUAAGAAUAAUACUACCUAUCACAUACUCAUCAGUAUACUUGAGGAAACCUAAAAAUUCACAAUUGAUAAUAUGAAGUAUUUUUAUUUGCUGUUUGGAGUAUGUGUGCAUGAUAUUGUUUGGUUCUGGAAUUUUGGGGUUCAAGUUGGAUAGAGGUGAGAAGAAAUGUUUCUUUGUAGAGCAUAAACUAAAAUAGACCUUGUCAGAACUCUUGUUUGCUUGUUCCUAAGGAAAUGGGCAAUUUAGGAGGUGGGGGGUGAAUGAAUGUUUUCUUGUGGGUAAGGCAGGUUGAAAUUUACUUAUAUGAGAAGAAGGACAGGGCAUAGCAUAGAUGCUGAAAGAAAUAAUUUUAAAAUAGUCAGGUGACAACCAGAAUUGCUUAGAAGAUCAACGAAUUAAAUAUGGCUGAGGUAUUAAUAGAGGGACCUUUGCUCUCACCAUAUAGAAUCUAGUGAUUCUCUGGAGUGUUUAAGAACAUGGUGAUAUUUGCUCAUAGCUUUGAUGUAGACAUAGGCAUCUUAGGACUGUCACAUCCACAGGACCACUUGUGAGGCUUCCCUAGGUACUCCUGAAGGUGGAGGACCUCAACUCGAUACAAUUGUAGCAAAAAAGAGGAGCACAGCAGAUGCCUUUGGAGAUGGCAUUUGGCAGAACACGUUCGUGAAUACAUUACAGAUAUUCUCUCUGGGGGUUCAAGAAAUAAUUUCAGAAUAAUUCUGGUGGUGUAUUUCCUAAGGGAGGAAUUGUUUUGACAUACUACAAUUAUAAGGGCUUCAAGCCACUGUAAUGUAUGCAUAAAAAUUAAUGUGAUGUCAUUUUAUAUUCACCACCUGUAUUGGCCUGGAUAUCAGUUUCCACAGCUACCAUCCAGGGUCAAACACUGUGACUUGCCUUCUUCCUGGAGACUUGUUACCUAGGAUUUGUUGUCUCUGAAAGCAAGUGAAAGAGUACCUAGGAGAAGUGGUAUGCUGACCACCUUAGUCAGAAUAACAAUACCAGUUUGGGCUAUUUUAUUUUUAUUUUUAUUUUUUUUCAGUAAAGAGUAAUACAUCAUCUAAAUUUUAUGAAGAAAACAGAGAAAAACAUUUCGGUCAUCUGUCUGAGAAGAUCAUUUUUUAUGAAUGAUAAUCUGGUACAACCAAAAGACACUUUUUAGACCAACAGGAAAUACUAUGAAUAAACAAUUAUGCUGGUACUAUGUUGGUUGUACUAUGAACCCUGUUUUUCAUUAGUUAUUUUUCUUAGCUCUUUGUUUAAAAGCCAGGAUUUCAACAACUCCAGUAUUCUCUCAUAUAAAGCCCUCCAUUCUAUAAACAGUGGGACAAAUAUAUUAGUAUAAGAGAUAACAAAACACAUGAAUGAGAGCACCCCAGGAUGGAAGAUGUUCACUGUGCAAAAGCCUUUGAAGAAAGACAUUGCUUCUCAGAAGGAGUUAUAAAUUUGCUGUGAACAAGACAAGACUAGCACGAAGUUUUAAAUCACUUCUUAUAUAUAAGCUCUUUGACAGGCACGCAUGAAAGUGAAAUAAAGAACACUUGAGAAAAUCUAAACUAGCUAUCUGAAAAUUGUGUUUUUAAAGAAAGAAUCACUAAGAAAGAACACACCUCAUCACCUCUCAACUUCAUCAGAACUUGGAGACUUUUAAAUGGACAUGCCCUCUCUAACCAUUUAUGGUCUCCUCCACCUACUUGGACCCUCCUCCUUUUGUCCAGAAGGCUAUUAUUUUAAGAUUCAGCUCAAAGGUUGACUCCAGAUGGAAGUUUUGCCUGACUCUUCUUCCCAACAUUUCCACCCCAAGACCUAGCUUUGGCCAAGUCUCCUUCCUUUUGGGACCCAGCUGGAAUAUUUAAUCUCUAUAUUCUCUUUGUUGGUUUACUUUUCUCAUCCACCUUCCUGUUCCGAAUCCAACAUACAUCCAGUGACUACAACAUAAAGUCUUUUAAGCAGGAGUAAUAGAGUCUCUACUCUUCUAUCAUCUGUAUUCAGUACAAUAUCUGACACUGAGCAGAUGGGUGCCUAAUCAUGCUCCCAUAAAUGAUUCAAUGUGCAAGAAGCAAAUCAAUGCAUACAUUC